RNAcentral lists this long non-coding RNA (1095 nucleotides) under Aquilegia coerulea. Its description in RNAcentral is "long non-coding RNA (ACOE_LNC001338)". The record is from RNAcentral. Lineage: Eukaryota; Viridiplantae; Streptophyta; Magnoliopsida; Ranunculales; Ranunculaceae.
UGGAAUCUAUAAAUAUUAGUUCUGUUACUUCUUCAAUAAUUCAUAUGCUCAAUACAUCUAGUAAACCUGACAGACAUGGAAACCAAAUCCAUUAUGUUUACAUUUCUUAUCUUAUGCCUUGUUCUCUCUCCAUCAUUACCCAGUAGCGACGCUGCUCGCUUCAACCAUAGAGGUGAUUUCAACUUUUUACAAACAAUUUUCCUGUAACUUCUUGCUGAAUUUUCAUUUAGCAUAUACUUAGAGGUGCUUUGGGGUUCUCUGCAGUUUGCCCCCACAUCCAAUUCAAUCUAAUAAUUUGGGCAAUGCAUGGAUCGACUAAUAUAUAUAAUUACCCCAUGAUUUUUUUGGUUGGCAUGAUGGCUCAAAAAUCAAUCCAAUCUCAAACUAGCUAAAUUAACAUAAUUAUCUUGAUAUCUUAUAUAUAUUAUGAUUUUCUUGUGUGGCUGCAGAGCUUCUUCAGGUUCCACGUCCCCCAUGCCCAAGAUGUUUGUGUUGCCCUGGACCUGUUCCAACAGGAGGAUGUUGUAGAUGUGGGUGUGCUCCUCCUAGGCCUAUUUAUCCAUGAUCACGUUGCCAUCAUUUCGUAAAAGUUCUUAAGUUUAUGGGAAGUAAAGCUUUGUCUUGUUUUUUUUCAUGGCCUACUAUGUAUAUGAAGUCAACAAGAAGAUCAACUUGAUGCUGCUGUAGUCUCCGUUGGUAGAUACUACUGUCUUGUGUAUAUGAAGUCAAUAAGAAGAUCAACUUGAUGUUUCAAACUAAAGAAGAUACUACUGUCUUGUGUCAAUCACUCGAUCUGUUGUAGUUCUUUGGAUGUCUAUUACAUGUGAAGAUUAUAUUCUAGUAGGCAGUAGCUGUUCUUGUGUCGAUCUGAUUAAGCAUAAUAUGAAUAAACAUAUAUUAUAAAUAAACAUAUAGUUGUAAUAAAUUGCCGCAUCCGUUUUAUGCAAGACUUUUCACAGUUUUUAUUGGGGAUAGUGAUUUUUGCUUUAAAUCAUAUAUCUGACCAUAAGAAGGGCAUGCCUGAAGAUCGACACAGUUUUUAAUUCUCAUAUCUUUGCUGUCAAUGCAUUAUGGUUACAUUUCUAAUCUUAUGCC